This 1104-nucleotide ribosomal RNA is filed under the name Triticum aestivum (bread wheat). RNAcentral's name for it is "partial small subunit ribosomal RNA". The record is from RNAcentral. Lineage: Eukaryota; Viridiplantae; Streptophyta; Magnoliopsida; Poales; Poaceae.
AUGGCUCGCCCCCGCCUCCGGCUGCUCCUCCUCGUCGCCGCCGUCCUCCUCCUCCUCCACCCGGCCCUCUCCUCGGCGUCGGAGGGGCUGGAGGACCCCCUCAUCGAGCAGGUGGUCGGGGGCGACGCGGAGAACGAGCUGGAGCUCAACGCGGAGGCGCACUUCGCGACCUUCGUGCGGCGGUUCGGCAAGUCCUACAGGGAUGCCGACGAGCACGCGCACCGGCUCUCCGUGUUCAGGGCCAACCUCCGCCGCGCGCGCCGCCACCAGCGCCUCGACCCCUCCGCGGUGCACGGCAUCACCAAGUUCUCCGACCUCACCCCCGACGAGUUCCGGGAGCGCUUCCUCGGCCUCCGCAAGUCCCGCCGGAGCUUCCUCAAGGGGAUCUCCGGGUCGGCGCACGACGCGCCGGCCCUCCCCACCGACGGCCUCCCCACAGAGUUCGACUGGCGCGAGCACGGCGCGGUCGGCCCAGUCAAGGACCAGGGUUCGUGCGGGUCGUCCAACUACCUCGCCACCGGGAAGCUGGAGGUGCUCAGCGAGCAGCAGCUGGUCGACUGCGACCACGAGUGUGACCCGUCAGAACCACGCGCAUGUGACGCGGGAUGCAAUGGUGGCUUGAUGACUACAGCUUUCAGCUAUCUCGCAAAAGCUGGUGGCUUAGAAACCGAGAAGGAUUACCCGUACACUGGGAAGAACAGUGCCUGCAAGUUUGACAAAUCCAAAAUUGCUGCUCAAGUUAAGAAUUUUAGUACUGUUGCUAUUGACGAAGAUCAGAUUGCUGCUAACCUUGUGAAACAUGGCCCACUUGCAAUUGGUAUCAAUGCAGUAUUCAUGCAAACGUACAUUGGUGGUGUCUCAUGCCCAUACAUCUGCGGAAGGCAUCUUGAUCAUGGUGUUCUCCUGGUUGGCUAUGGAUCAGCUGGUUACGCACCGCUCCGCUUCAAGGAGAAACCAUACUGGAUCAUAAAGAACUCAUGGGGCGAAAACUGGGGCGAGAGCGGGUACUACAAGAUCUGCAGGGGUCCGCAUGUCAAAAACAAGUGCGGUGUCGAUUCCAUGGUCUCCACGGUUACCGCCAUCCAUACCUCUAAGAAGGAAUAA